AAAUUGAAGAGUUUGAUCAUGGCUCAGAUUGAACGCUGGCGGCAGGCCUAACACAUGCAAGUCGAGCGGUAGCACAGAGAGCUUGCUCUCGGGUGACGAGCGGCGGACGGGUGAGUAAUGUCUGGGAAACUGCCUGAUGGAGGGGGAUAACUACUGGAAACGGUAGCUAAUACCGCAUAACGUCGCAAGACCAAAGUGGGGGACCUUCGGGCCUCAUGCCAUCAGAUGUGCCCAGAUGGGAUUAGCUAGUAGGUGGGGUAACGGCUCACCUAGGCGACGAUCCCUAGCUGGUCUGAGAGGAUGACCAGCCACACUGGAACUGAGACACGGUCCAGACUCCUACGGGAGGCAGCAGUGGGGAAUAUUGCACAAUGGGCGCAAGCCUGAUGCAGCCAUGCCGCGUGUGUGAAGAAGGCCUUCGGGUUGUAAAGCACUUUCAGCGGGGAGGAAGGCGUUAAGGUUAAUAACCUUGGCGAUUGACGUUACCCGCAGAAGAAGCACCGGCUAACUCCGUGCCAGCAGCCGCGGUAAUACGGAGGGUGCAAGCGUUAAUCGGAAUUACUGGGCGUAAAGCGCACGCAGGCGGUCUGUCAAGUCGGAUGUGAAAUCCCCGGGCUCAACCUGGGAACUGCAUUCGAAACUGGCAGGCUAGAGUCUUGUAGAGGGGGGUAGAAUUCCAGGUGUAGCGGUGAAAUGCGUAGAGAUCUGGAGGAAUACCGGUGGCGAAGGCGGCCCCCUGGACAAAGACUGACGCUCAGGUGCGAAAGCGUGGGGAGCAAACAGGAUUAGAUACCCUGGUAGUCCACGCCGUAAACGAUGUCGAUUUGGAGGUUGUGCCCUUGAGGCGUGGCUUCCGGAGCUAACGCGUUAAAUCGACCGCCUGGGGAGUACGGCCGCAAGGUUAAAACUCAAAUGAAUUGACGGGGGCCCGCACAAGCGGUGGAGCAUGUGGUUUAAUUCGAUGCAACGCGAAGAACCUUACCUGGUCUUGACAUCCACAGAACUUUCCAGAGAUGGAUUGGUGCCUUCGGGAACUGUGAGACAGGUGCUGCAUGGCUGUCGUCAGCUCGUGUUGUGAAAUGUUGGGUUAAGUCCCGCAACGAGCGCAACCCUUAUCCUUUGUUGCCAGCGGUUAGGCCGGGAACUCAGAGGAGACUGCCAGUGAUAAACUGGAGGAAGGUGGGGAUGACGUCAAGUCAUCAUGGCCCUUACGACCAGGGCUACACACGUGCUACAAUGGCAUAUACAAAGAGAAGCGACCUCGCGAGAGCAAGCGGACCUCAUAAAGUAUGUCGUAGUCCGGAUUGGAGUCUGCAACUCGACUCCAUGAAGUCGGAAUCGCUAGUAAUCGUAGAUCAGAAUGCUACGGUGAAUACGUUCCCGGGCCUUGUACACACCGCCCGUCACACCAUGGGAGUGGGUUGCAAAAGAAGUAGGUAGCUUAACCUUCGGGAGGGCGCUUACCACUUUGUGAUUCAUGACUGGGGUGAAGUCGUAACAAGGUAACCGUAGGGGAACCUGCGGUUGGAUCACCUCCUUA
RNAcentral lists this ribosomal RNA (1540 nucleotides) under Klebsiella pneumoniae. RNAcentral's name for it is "16S ribosomal RNA". It matches the Rfam family "Bacterial small subunit ribosomal RNA". Lineage: Bacteria; Pseudomonadati; Pseudomonadota; Gammaproteobacteria; Enterobacterales; Enterobacteriaceae. The record is from RNAcentral.